Molecule: long non-coding RNA, 610 nt
Filed under: Salmo salar (Atlantic salmon)
Lineage: Eukaryota; Metazoa; Chordata; Actinopteri; Salmoniformes; Salmonidae
Description: lncRNA (ENSSSAG00000088986.1, ENSSSAG00000112876.1)
Source: RNAcentral
GUAAAACACGGAUCCUGUCCCUUCCCUGUAGAGUGGAGGUAAAAGUCGGAUCCUGUCCCCCUUCCCUGUAGAGUGGAGGUAAAACACGGAUCCUGUCCCUUCCCUGUAGAGUGGAGGUAAAACACGGAUCCUGACCCUUCCCUGUAGAGUGGAGGUAAAACACGGAUCCUGUCCCCCUUCCCUGUAGAGUGGAGGUAAAACACGGAUCCCCUCCCUUCCCUGUAGAGUGGAGGUAAAACACGGAUCCUGUCCCCCUUCCCUGUAGAGUGGAGGUAAAACACGGAUCCGGACCCUUCCCUGUUGAUUGGAGGUAAAACACGGAUCCUGUGCCCCUUCCCUGUAGAGUGGAGGUGAAACACGGAUCCUGUCCCCCUUCCCUGUAGAGUGGAGGUAAAACACGGAUCCGGACCCUUCCCUGUUGAGUGGAGGUAAAACACGGAUCCUGUCCCCCUUCCCUGUAGAGUGGAGGUAAAACACAGAUCCUGUCCCCCUUCCCUGUAGAGUGGAGGUAAGACUGACUCUCUUUCUGCUACGGAGUAUUAGCACUAUUCAGUCUUUCUUUCUUUUAUGUAAAGAGCCACUCUUCAGGCCUCUUACCCUUAUCCUGGGG